RNAcentral lists this ribosomal RNA (745 nucleotides) under uncultured Glomeraceae. RNAcentral describes it as "eukaryotic LSU rRNA". It matches the Rfam family "Eukaryotic large subunit ribosomal RNA", at positions 38 to 648 of the family's 3401-position model. Lineage: Eukaryota; Fungi; Glomeromycota; Glomeromycetes; Glomerales; Glomeraceae. The record is from RNAcentral.
GCAUAUCAAUAAGCGGAGGAAAAGAAAAUAACAAUGAUUCCCCUAGUAACGGCGAGCGAAGAGGAAAUAGCUCAAAUUUUAAAUCUGUUGGGUCUUACCUAGCCGAGAUGUAAUUUGAAAAAGCGUUUUCUGCGUGUUUGAUUUAGCCCAAAUCCUUUGGGAUAAGGUAUCAUGGAGGGUGAGAAUCCCGUCCGGCCUAAUCAAAUGUGCAUUACGAUACGUUUUCUAAGAGUCGAGUUGUUUGGGAUUGCAGCUCAAAAUGGGAGGUAAAUUUCUCCUAAGGCUAAAUAUAGGCGAGAGACUGAUAGCGAACAAGUACCAUGAGGGAAAAAUGAAAAGAACUUUGAAAAGAGAGUUAAAUAGUACGUGAAAUUGUUGAAAGGGAAACGAUUAAAGUCAGUCGUACUAACGGGGAAUCAAACUUUUGAGGGUGGAAUUGUGGGAUUCAAAGUGCCUUUGUUUUUCACAACCUGCUUUUUUUGGGUGCACUUUCUCGUAUUGUAGGUCAGCAUCGGUUUCGAUCGUUACAAAAUGACUGGAGGAAUGUAGCUUUGAUCUCGUAUUGAAGUGUUAUAGCCUUUGGUAGAUGUAACUGUUGGGAUCGAGGAUUGCAAUGAAUACCCUUAUGGGCUAUCCGACAUGUCACUCUGGUGCCGAAAGCUUGCUUACGGUAUUAUAGUGUACGGUCAAAAGGCCAGAACGGAUUAAAUUCGUUAAGGAUGUUGACGUAAUGGCUUUAAACGAC